Molecule: ribosomal RNA, 504 nt
Filed under: uncultured bacterium
Lineage: Bacteria
Description: partial 16S ribosomal RNA
Rfam family: Bacterial small subunit ribosomal RNA
Source: RNAcentral
AUUGAACGCUGGCGGCAGGCCUAACACAUGCAAGUCGAACGGUAGCACAGGGAGCUUGCUCUUGGGUGACGAGUGGCGGACGGGUGAGUAAUGUCUGAGAAACUGCCCGAUGGAGGGGGAUAACUACUGGAAACGGUAGCUAAUACCGCAUAACGUCUUCGGACCAAAGUGGGGGACCUUCGGGCCUCACACCAUCGGAUGUGCCCAGAUGGGAUUAGCUAGUAGGUGGGGUAAUGGCUCACCUAUGCGACGAUCCCUAGCUGGUCUGAGAGGAUGACCAGCCACACUGGAACUGAGACACGGUCCAGACUCCUACGGGAGGCAGCAGUGGGGAAUAUUGCACAAUGGGCGCAAGCCUGAUGCAGCCAUGCCGCGUGUAUGAAGAAGGCCUUCGGGUUGUAAAGUACUUUCAGCGGGGAGGAAGGCGAUGGAGUUAAUAGCUUCAUCGAUUGACGUUACCCGCAGAAGAAGCACCGGCUAACUCCGUGCCAGCAGCCGCAGUAA